UGGGGAAUAUUGGGCAAUGGGCGAAAGCCUGACCCAGCAACGCCGCGUGAAGGAAGAAGGUCUUCGGAUUGUAAACUUCUUUUAUGAGGGACGAAGGACGUGACGGUACCUCAUGAAUAAGCCACGGCUAACUACGUGCCAGCAGCCGCGGUAAUACGUAGGUGGCAAGCGUUAUCCGGAUUUACUGGGUGUAAAGGGCGCGUAGGCGGGGAUGCAAGUCAGAUGUGAAAUCUAUGGGCUUAACUCAUAACUGCAUUGAAACUGUAUCUCUUGAGUGCUGGAGAGGUAGACGGAAUUCCUUGUGUAGCGGUGAAAUGCGUAGAUAUAAGGAAGAACACCAGUGGCGAAGGCGGUCUACUGGACAGUAACUGACGCUGAGGCGCGAAAGCGUGGGAGCAAACAGGAUUAGAUACC
This 414-nucleotide ribosomal RNA is filed under the name uncultured bacterium. RNAcentral's name for it is "bacterial SSU rRNA". It matches the Rfam family "Bacterial small subunit ribosomal RNA", at positions 355 to 786 of the family's 1533-position model. The record is from RNAcentral.